UACAGAGGGGGCAAGCGUUAUUCGGAAUUACUGGGCGUAAAGGGCGCGUAGGCGGCUUUGCAAGUGACGGGUGAAAUCCCUCGGCUUAACCGAGGAACUGCCUGUCAGACUGUGAGGCUUGAGACCGGGAGAGGUGAGUGGAAUUCCCAGUGUAGCGGUGAAAUGCGUAGAUAUUGGGAGGAACACCAGUGGCGAAGGCGGCUCACUGGACCGGAACUGACGCUGAGGCGCGAAAGCGUGGGGAGCAAACAGG
RNAcentral lists this ribosomal RNA (253 nucleotides) under uncultured bacterium. RNAcentral describes it as "partial 16S ribosomal RNA". It matches the Rfam family "Bacterial small subunit ribosomal RNA", at positions 524 to 776 of the family's 1533-position model. The record is from RNAcentral.